Molecule: small nuclear RNA, 301 nt
Filed under: Myotis brandtii (Brandt's bat)
Lineage: Eukaryota; Metazoa; Chordata; Mammalia; Chiroptera; Vespertilionidae
Description: 7SK RNA
Rfam family: 7SK RNA
About the family: 7SK was discovered as an abundant small nuclear RNA in the mid-70s but a possible function has only recently been suggested.
Source: Rfam by way of RNAcentral
GGAUGUGAGGGCGAUCUGGCUGCGACAUCUGUCACCCCAUUGAUCGCCAGGGUUGAUUCGGCUGAUCUGGCUGGCUAGGCGGGUGUCCCCCUCCUCCCUCACCGAUCCAUGUGCGUCCCUCCCGAAGCUGCCCGGGCUGGGGGACCCCCCCCCCCCCCCCCCCCGAGGAGAGGACCGGUCUUUGGUCAAGGGUAUACGAGUAGCUGCGCUCCCCUGCUAGAACCUCCAAAACACUGGUUAUAAGGAUGUUCAGUGAACUUAGGGGUAGAAUAGAGGAAGUUAGUGAGAAUUUCAACAAAGU